Molecule: unclassified non-coding RNA, 293 nt
Filed under: Hevea brasiliensis (rubber tree)
Lineage: Eukaryota; Viridiplantae; Streptophyta; Magnoliopsida; Malpighiales; Euphorbiaceae
Source: RNAcentral
AGUGCAGUGAAGGAUGCACUAGUAUCAUCCAAACCUUUAUCAGACAUCUUCGAAUCUUUUUGCCUUAGAGGUUUUUUCAGGUCCAUCUUACGCCUGCUUCUGACUUUAGUAGGCAAAUUCACCUGGUUUUCCACAGGGAUCUGGGCAGUUGAUUGAGCUGAAUCACUUCGUUCUGUUCUUGGAUCUGCACAUGAUGAAUGCUCCUGAUCUUUGAUAAAUUUAGGCGAGACCUGAUAGGAUCUUUUACCCUUAUUGGUUGACUUCUUUGAUGCUUCUUUUGCCGCAGCUUCCUG